RNAcentral lists this long non-coding RNA (302 nucleotides) under Triticum aestivum (bread wheat). Its description in RNAcentral is "long non-coding RNA (TAES_LNC015674)". Lineage: Eukaryota; Viridiplantae; Streptophyta; Magnoliopsida; Poales; Poaceae. The record is from RNAcentral.
UCGAUCUCCGGGACAUCGGGGUCCUCGAGCAGGGGCGUAGCGGGAGUCGGAGAAGGAGGUGGUAGACCAGGAGAAUGCACACGCGGAACAGUAGGUGCUAGGCCAGGAGACUGCACACGCGGAGCAGUAGGUGCUAGGCCAGGAGACUGCACACGCGGAGCAGUAGGUGCUAGGCCAGGAGACUGCACACGCGGAGCAGUAGGUGCUAGGCCAGGAGACUGCACGCGCGGUUGCACUGGUGGAGUAGACUGCCGGGACACUGCAUGCGUUCUCGUUGCCUGGCUCUGCUGGGGAACGUAGAG